UUGACAGAGACUUCGGUUGAAGUCGUUAUAAUCCUAGUGGCGGACGGGUGAGUAACGCGUGGGUAACCUGCCUCACACUGGGGGAUAACAGUCAGAAAUGACUGCUAAUACCGCAUAAGCGCACGGAGCCGCAUGGCUCAGUGUGAAAAACUCCGGUGGUGUGAGAUGGACCCGCGUUGGAUUAGCCAGUUGGCAGGGUAACGGCCUACCAAAGCGACGAUCCAUAGCCGGCCUGAGAGGGUGGACGGCCACAUUGGGACUGAGACACGGCCCAGACUCCUACGGGAGGCAGCAGUGGGGAAUAUUGCACAAUGGGGGAAACCCUGAUGCAGCGACGCCGCGUGAAGGAAGAAGUAUCUCGGUAUGUAAACUUCUAUCAGCAGGGAAGAAAAUGACGGUACCUGACUAAGAAGCCCCGGCUAACUACGUGCCAGCAGCCGCGGUAAUACGUAGGGGGCAAGCGUUAUCCGGAUUUACUGGGUGUAAAGGGAGCGUAGACGGAGCAGCAAGUCUGAUGUGAAAGGCGGGGGCUCAACCCCCGGACUGCAUUGGAAACUGUUGAUCUUGAGUACCGGAGAGGUAAGCGGAAUUCCUAGUGUAGCGGUGAAAUGCGUAGAUAUUAGGAGGAACACCAGUGGCGAAGGCGGCUUACUG
Molecule: ribosomal RNA, 654 nt
Filed under: uncultured Lachnospiraceae bacterium
Lineage: Bacteria; Bacillati; Bacillota; Clostridia; Lachnospirales; Lachnospiraceae
Description: bacterial SSU rRNA
Rfam family: Bacterial small subunit ribosomal RNA
Source: RNAcentral